This is a long non-coding RNA of Vespula pensylvanica (western yellowjacket), 4693 nucleotides long. RefSeq lists it as uncharacterized. NCBI's taxonomy places the organism in Eukaryota, Metazoa, Arthropoda, Insecta, Hymenoptera, Vespidae. The transcript is spliced from 3 exons. The record is from RefSeq and is a predicted model, not a curated record.
UUUUUUUUUUUUCUUCAAUUAUCUAAUCACACGAAUUUUACUUACAAUUGCAUGCGAAUGUAUAUUUAUUUUUUAAUUUGAUAAACAAAAAGAUUUUCAUGUAUAUAUGAGAAAUUAUAGUUGAUAAUAGUUAUCGGUGGUAUUGCUUAGAUAUCUAUAUAUUUGCGAAAAGAUAUGACAAUGACAUGAGAAAGAAAAAAUAAAUUAAAAUAAAAUAAAAAAAUAGAAAAAGAAUAUAAGAAUCAUCAUCGUGCUAAUGUUAGAUUUGUCAAGCGCAUACGAGAAACAAAGCUCGGCCGUAAGAAGAGAAAAAUUAAUUGGAGAAACUCAGCAUUGUGUACGUGAGCAUGAACGAUAAUCAAUCGGAAAUGAAAGAAAAUGUCCGUAUGAAAACAUUCAAUACAUUAAUGCGUUUGUUUAACGUCAAUGCAAACGAGAAUACCGGAUAGGCAAUCGGGAGAAGUCAAUCAACGGGUAGCAAGCGCCAUAAUACAUAUAUUGUUUAUACAUACGUAUAGACGACUCGUCCUUCACGAAUUCCAUGCGAAAGAUAUUUCUGUGCAUGCGCUAAGAGAAAGAGAGGAAGAAAGAAAGAAAGAUGGAAGGUAAAGGAGAGAGAGAGAGAGAGAGAGAGAGAGAGAGAGAGAGAGAGAGAGAGAGAGAGAGAGAGAAGGCAGCUUAUUAUCCUGAUGUUCCCAAUGCAGGAUAUGCAGUAUGCUAAGUGGAUGCAAACAUUCACCGACUAUGCGCAGGAAUACAAAUGGAACCCAGGUGCCACCGCGUUUGUUCGUCGACUCCCUUCUUCUCCGCGCACUCCUCUCCAAGUCUAUCCUCCAUUCCUCUUCUCCACUCCUCUUCUUCGAGUCUCCUCUUUCUCUUCCUUCUUCUUCCAGUCCGGACCUCCCAUUUACAUAUCUUUUCUUAUCCCUCUCGCCUUAUACCUACCUAAGCUACUAGAUUACGUUAUAUAAGCGGCGCCAGCAUAUUUUUUUUUCUUCCUUCACCUCCUGUGCGUUCCCUUCGUAUAUUUUACAAGUAUGUACUAGGAUGGAAAUCUAGUAUUUUCGAAUAUAUGAAUAGAAAAAAGAAACCAGCGGGAGGUUAACCGUACUGACUAGGAGAUCCAUUUAUUCGUUCGGUUUAUUCAUUCCAGGCUUCCAGUGUUUUAGAAAAGAUCGGACUUAGUUUAUUUCGGUUAACGUACGUAAUUUUAUGGUGGUUAGAGCCAUGAUUUGUUAUAGAUCGUUAACAAACGUUUCCCUUUUCAAAAACCCUGUCGAAUAACUUAACUCUUGGGAAAGGAAAAUUUUUAUAUAAACAAUUUACAAUUAGUCAGUUAGUUAAACAAACUAUCUUGUAUAUUGUCCGUUGAAUAAUCGAACUCUAUUUGCUUAUAUAAUAACAUGUUAAUCUUCAUUCAAGCUUAUUGUUAUAAUUAUAAUUUAACACAUUGUUGCAUCCAAAAGCAACCAAUUUCUACGGAUACAUUGCAUAUAUAAACACAGUGCCAUUCGUGUGACUUUCGGGUCAUCUAUUUAAUAUUCCACUGGCAUGUUCAAUAAUUAUGGACAUCGCCUAAUCCGUAACGCAAUGGCCGAACAAUGGCGCGAAAAUGGUAUCUGUUACCAAAGGUAGGGGCACCACGAAUUAAACGACGAGAGGAGAGUACCGAUCGGUUAUGGGAAGCCGACGAACCGACGUUUCCAACAGUCGUUCCUCGACAAUGGAAGAAUUCUCUUCCAUUCCUAGAUUCGAUCUGUUUAAUAAUUAACUUCUAUAACGUGCGAAUCGAAUAAUUUUGAUCGAAUAAAGGAAGAUAUUGAAAAAGUGCAAGAAACGAAUUAUUCAAUUAUUCGGACAAUGAUUUUUAAUUGACAAAAUUCCAAUAACAUGGCUGCCACGUGCGAGACACCCCGUGGAAGAAGAAGAAACAGACCCAACUUUUUAGAUCUUUCUGCUAUUCCACUAAGACGAGAGUCGUUCUUAUCCCUCGAUAUAGAUAAAGAAAAAACUAAUGAAUUUAUAUCGAGUCGUUCGACAUCAUAUCCCAGAGGCAACUCGCGUACGUCAUUGGUCUAUUGUAUCGUCGAACUAUUAUCUUAGUACUUCCUGUCCACGCGCGAACGAUCGCAUAACGGCUCGAUCAUUUAUCGAGACUAUUAAUCCAAGUUAAGGCCGGAAAUACCAUAAGCGGAAGACACGAGCAUCACGUUCUAAUCCGGUGGGGGAUAAAUUUACAGUUGAUCGAUUAUUUCCAAUGGAUACCAUCUUAUAUUAUCCGAUCUAUAAAAUCGCCUAUCGAAUAAUAAUAAUUCCAAUGUUUUCUCUUUAGUUCUAUGUUAAUAAAGCCACGAGUCUUUACUAACUUUCUAUUACAAUUUCUAUUUGGUGUUACAUGAUAUUUAAUUUAAAAAUGAUAAUAAUACUUUAAAUAUUCACUAACACGAUCGUUGCCAUUUUAAUUUCUUACUAUAACACACUCGUGUGAUAGAAUUGCAAGAAUGUAGAAAAAGGGAAAGAGAAAAAAUAAAGAAACAAUAAUUUUUAUACAAUACCGAGGUCAAAAGUAACUCAAUCACGCUCGUCACAGACAAAGCACGGAGACUUCUGACAAGGGGUCUUUUGUACCACAGAUAUUGAUAUCUUCCAAGCAACGAUACUUGGAAACUCCGAAGUUCAUGAUCUUCUAACGGGGUGCGGUACAACGAAUCGUUCGUAUAAAGUUCGUGCAAUUUUCUCGCCAUUUAUUCACAAAACAAAACAAAAUAAAAUCAUCUAAACGUUUCUCGAGUCACGAACGAUUACAACCACGAAUAGCUUCAUUUCUCCAUUCAUACUAUAUUUUUUCCGUAGCUUUGAAGGAAAAAAGAAAGUAUAAAUCGUUUUAACGGAUCUCACAUCGAAUAUCCUCUCCUCUUGUCGUUCGAAGAUAAAGUCGAGUGCUUCUUCGACGAAGUAAAAGAACAAAAUAAGAUUACGAAGAAGAGAAUCGAGAAAAAGGAUCUGGGAUAGCGUAUUCGCAACGACAAAAAGGGAAGAAGAAGAAGAAGAUAGAGAGAGAAGAGGGGGGGGGAGGGAAAGAGCAAAAGCGAGAAAGAGAGAGUACUUCGUUGUACAUAAGAUUAUUUGCUCGAGCCAGAAGAGAGAAGACACUCACUAGAGUGUCGCGCGAAACGUAACAGCACGUCGUCGUAAAUACUUUAUUUCAAAAGCCGUGAGUAAAAUUUACGGGUCAGAGAGAAAGAGAGAAAGAGAGAGAAAGAGAAACGCACACACAUUCAUAGUUGACGUAUCUUCUUCUUCGGGUUUCUCUCUUUCCAGAUCUCCAUCUUUCCAGCGAAUGUCUUUUCAGGCUUAUAUCUCGCGGUCCAGCCGUUUCAGAAUACGGAGUUGACGAACUCUCGAGCUUGGAGAGGCCAAAAAUAACCGGAGCGAAACAAACCGUGAUUUUCUUCCUGCUCCGCUACGUGUAACGUUUCGUCAGGACGACGGAUAAAUAAACCUGUCGUCGGGAAUAGACGAAGGAAAAGAGGGAAGGGGAGAAAGAAAGAAACAGAAAAAAAAAACAGAAAAGGGUUUACAAAGUUUCUACGAUUGGUAGACCUUUGGUUAACGUUUGUUUUCACCUUUUGCGAAAUUAACGUCAAAACUCUGGACUCGAGUUCUUUUUUUUUUCUUUUUUUUUUUUUUUUUUUACGAGAACAAAACAAAUGUAACGUGCACAGCGUUGAAAAUAUUAUCGGGGGAUAUGAUUGUCGAGUUAAUUCCGAUUUUUCUACACGUAGUAAUAUCAAAAGAUACUAAUGAAGAUUAGAAAGGCAUAGUUAACAGUGUUACAAUUGAAAUAUUUGUAAGGUCGUUAAAGGAGAAAAGAUAUGAAGAAUAUUAAUGACGCGUUUGCAGUAAUAAAACUAAUUAUCUAAUAUCUUCGCAGUCUUUAAUAACUUUUCGUCAUGCACGUUUGUCUUCCUUUUUUUUUCCUUUACCACCCUGACAAAAAGGUGAACAUCGCGUGUAUCACGUUACCACGCCGAAAAUGAAGCGCAUACACAGACUCUAGGGAUAAACAAGGGUGUGUCGCAGUUAAUGGCCAGCUCCUGUUAGGUAUAUGAUAUGUAAAUGAAUUGCUAGCAAGCGCAAACGCUCGCACGGAAGUUCUAAAUUAAAACGUUCGCGAGUUGGAUUCACUGAAAGUAAAAUAUCACGAAGGAAGACAAGAAUGAAAAAAAAUACAUAUACAUGGUCGUUCUUUAAAAAUCUAAGCAGGGAAAGGACACUUUUUAUAAGAGUAAUCCUUUGAUACAUCCGGGGAGCUAUGUAAUAGACACGAUGUAAUUUACAUGUCAAUAUCUAAUUCUAUUUUAAAUAAUCCUGCACAAUUUUUACUAUUUCUAUUUUACGUAGGAUUUUUAAAGGAUCUCUUAUAUUUUUCAAAUACCUACCAUUUCGAAACCAAAAUUUAAAUCGAUUUGGAGUUACUCGUAAAUUCUCGUUCGGAGAGACCACAUUUUCUAUAUCAAUUUAUCCAGUCGUUAUAUGGUAGAGUGGAUGCACAUAUAUAUGUAGAUUUUGACAUAAAACGUAAAGAUCUAAAAAGGUUUUUGGAUAUCUCAAGUACUUUAAGAGAUAAUCGUUUAUUAAACAUUUCGCUAUGUGAAGAGCAUAAGGAUCUUCUCUUUACGAUCAUGACUAA